This 75-nucleotide transfer RNA is filed under the name Bacillota bacterium. RNAcentral describes it as "tRNA-Gln". It matches the Rfam family "tRNA". Rfam says of the family: Transfer RNA (tRNA) molecules are approximately 80 nucleotides in length. Their secondary structure includes four short double-helical elements and three loops (D, anti-codon, and T loops). The record is from RNAcentral. Lineage: Bacteria; Bacillati; Bacillota.
UGGGGUAUCGCCAAGCGGUAAGGCUCCAGACUCUGAAUCUGGCAUUCGAAGGUUCGAAUCCUUCUACCUCAGCCA